This is a non-coding RNA of Camellia sinensis, 2281 nucleotides long. The record is from RefSeq and is a predicted model, not a curated record. Lineage: Eukaryota; Viridiplantae; Streptophyta; Magnoliopsida; Ericales; Theaceae.
AGCCCUAACCCUAACUAUCUCUUCCUGCCAUUGGCGUUGCCUCACUCCGCCAUCCUCCCACCGGUGUCGCCCUCGCAAAGCAAACAAGCAAGCAGCAACUUCUCGAAAUCUCCAGAGGGUACUGGUGCUGUGAACUCUCAAGAUUCUACUUUCAUUCGAUUCUUGAUCUGAGUCGUCUUGUUCGGUGAUCUAAUCAAAUCAAGCAGAAAUGGCAUUAGCGUUCGAUGAGUUUGGGAGACCGUUCAUAACAAUAAAGGAGCAAGAGCAGAAGACGAGGCUCAGAGGUCUCGAUGCUCAGAAAGCCAACAUUUCCGCCGGGAAAGCCGUUGCUCGCAUCCUCCGCACCUCUCUCGGCACCAAGGGUAUGGACAAGAUGCUCCAGAGCCCCGACGGCGAACUCACCAUCAGUAUGUCUAUACACAUACGUUUCAUCUUACUUUGUUUUUAACUUGUCAAAUGAUCGGCUAGGGUUUUUUAAUUUAAUACAUUUAGGGUUUUUUUGGUCCUUGAUCUAUUUGUUUUGUGUUAUCUAUUUGAAGUUUACUUAUGGAUCUAGGGCAAGGAAAGCGAAAAAGGUGUAUUAUGAUUCGUCAACUUGAGUAUUAAUUUGUUUUGGUUUUUGUUAGAGAAUAUGUUUAGGAUGCACAGUUAGGUGAAGUGUUCUACUGAGUUUUGUGGGUAUGAGUGCAAAAAUUGAAUUAAGAAAGUUUUGAUUAUUGUACAUUUUCAAUGUCAUCAAAGAUGCUUUCAAGAUCACACUGAUUGUCUGCACCUGAGGUGAGUUCUCGUUGAUUCACUCGAAUUUGUUCGAUUUUUAUCAUUCUGAUCGCUGUAAAGAGUGUAAUUUUAAUUUGUAUUUUGGCCGAUUGACGCUUAUUUUACAGUAAUUUAUAAGUUUGGAGUGUUCUUGUUAUGUUUCUUUAGGGGAAGGGGAAGAGACCCAAAAGGCAGCCAAGAGUACUACUCCGAAGCUACAAAAACUCAAUUCAAUUUCAACACUAGUCCCAUAGAAGAACCCAAUACCAACCCAAUUUUCAAAUUUGAAAGCUGGGUUCUUUAUCUCAUUUCAAUCAAUCAAUCAGUCUUCAAUGUGUGUAUAUAUAUAUACACAUGUACAGGGCAUUAGUCCAAGACUACCUCAAUACUUGGAUCUUUCAUUCUCUCUCUUUCAUCAGUUUGGCCAUGUAUUGACAGGUUGACAGCUUGAAGGAAAAACUCCUUGAAAAAGUAGAACAAGCUUGACUCUAGAGAAGUAAGCAAUGCUUCAUUGGAUCAUGAUGGACCUUUUAAAUAAGGAAUUUACCCUGACUCAGUUCCUUCUGCUACUUCUAAGGCUUCUACUCGGGAAUUUGUGGAUGUUGUCUUUGCUUAUUGGGUAAUAUUCCCUGAUUCAGAGCAGCAACUAAUCAAUCUUGCACAAGACCUUGUUACCAGGUAUGAGUUUAAAUAAUUUUUCAGGUAAAGAAGUUAAAGUGUGGUUUACACACAUCUUCACUCCUAGUGGCUUAAAAAAUUUAACUCCACUCAGCUGAUAAUAGACACCUGUUGUACUUGAUUGUGCUUUUCAUUAUGCCGAAAAUCAAAUAACAGGUUCAGUUUUUUCCCUGCUGUAUUUUUGUACAAUCACGUAACAGUAUAGCUAACCUUGAGGAUUCUCUUUCUUUGUUUGGCUCUGUGGGAUUUUGCAGUGACGCUUUGAUGGAACAAAUUAAAGCAUUGGUCUAUCGUCACCCAGACAAACUCUAUAUGGAGACAACUGGAGGUAAAAACAAGGGCUACCAUGCAGAGAUGAUUGUUGUUACUUAUUGCCGAAAUAGGAAAGACAUAUGACAAGUCAAAGUUUCGGAUCCUUCUUAUAAUUACUUGUCUUCCAGAGUUUUGGGCAGCAUGGAAGGGAGCUCAUUACAUCUGAGCUUGCAUUAAGGAUACUCUCCAUCUUGAGUGGAGAGCAAUUUCCACCCAACAUGGAUCCAAUUUCUUUAAACGACACGUUUGAGAGGCUUGUGAUAAAGAUGCUAUCCUUUUGAGUACGUGAUGAUAUCUUCGCAUAUCGAUAUUGGAGCUCACUAUUGAUACUAAAACAAGCAAUAAUAUAUAUGUUUUUUUUUUUGUAUUGUCGAUAUUUUUGUUUUGUUUUAGAUACAAAUUUGAGUUCUUGAAUUAUCAAAAAUUAUUAGUAUUGUUUAAGGAUGUUUUAUAUAUUUUUGUAAGGAAUGUUUGGUUGACACUGUAUUGCUACAUGGUACUUAUAUAUUAUUAUUCGUAUAUAUGAUUUUGUGAA